GGGUUUAAGGGUGCGUAGGCGGCUAUUUAAGUCAGGGGUGAAAGACGGCAGCUCAACUGUCGCAGUGCCUUUGAUACUGAAUAGCUUGAAUACACUUGAGGUAGGCGGAAUGUGACAAGUAGCGGUGAAAUGCAUAGAUAUGUCACAGAACACCAAUUGCGAAGGCAGCUUACUAAAGUGUGAUUGACGCUGAGGCACGAAAGCGUGGGGAUCAAACAGGAUUAGAUACCCUGGUAGUCCACGCCCUAAACGAUGAAUACUCGAUGUUGGCGAUAUACGGUCAGCGUCUAAGCGAAAGCGUUAAGUAUUCCACCUGGGGAGUACGCCCGCAAGGGUGAAACUCAAAGGAAUUGACGGGGGCCCGCACAAGCGGAGGAGCAUGUGGUUUAAUUCGAUGAUACGCGAGGAACCUUACCCGGGCUUGAAAGUUAGUGAAUGGAGCAGAGACGCUCCAGUCCUUCGGGACACGAAACUAGGUGCUGCAUGGCUGUCGUCAGCUCGUGCCGUGAGGUGUUGGGUUAAGUCCCGCAACGAGCGCAACCCCUGUGUUUAGUUGCCAGCAUGUAAUGGUGGGGACUCUAAACAGACUGCCUAUGCAAAUAGAGAGGAAGGAGGGGACGACGUCAAGUCAUCAUGGCCCUUACGUCCGGGGCUACACACGUGCUACAAUGGGCAGUACAGAGGGCAGCUACCUGGCAACAGGAUGCCAAUCUCUUAAAGCUGUUCACAGUUCGGAUCGGGGUCUGCAACUCGACCCCGUGAAGUUGGAUUCGCUAGUAAUCGCGUAUCAGCAUGACGCGUGAAUACGUUCCCGGUCUGCACACACGCC
RNAcentral lists this ribosomal RNA (829 nucleotides) under uncultured bacterium. RNAcentral's name for it is "bacterial SSU rRNA". It matches the Rfam family "Bacterial small subunit ribosomal RNA", at positions 556 to 1394 of the family's 1533-position model. The record is from RNAcentral.